AUGGCCUCCUCUUACCUUGCGAUCCUAGUGCUGCUCUUGCUGCGCUUCUCCGGCGGCGCCGUCGCCGUCUCCUCCAGCUACAUCGCAAGGACCACCGAGCAGCAGAUCAUCGCCACCGUCGCGCCGGCCGCCUUCGCCGACGCCGAUGACGGCGGCCAGAGCGCAGCGCAGCCUUUCCUCGCGUCCCCCUCCGGGUCGUUCGCCGCGUACCUCCGCCGCGCCGCCGUGGGCGAUGGCGGUAGCGGGGACGUGUGCUACGUCGAGGUCGUCCAGCAGCAGGGGGGCGGCGGCGGGACCAGCAGCGUGUGGGAGUCGGACUGCACGCCGGUGGGCGGCGCCGAAACCUGCGACCUGGCCUUCUCGCCCGUGGGGCUCGAGCUGUUCGCCGGCGGGCACUCGCUGUGGGACACCGCUGUCGACUCCGACCCCGCGAUGCUCAGCCUCGACGGCGCCGGCGACAUGAGGAUCGUCAGCAGGGACGGCGUCACGGUGUGGAGGACGAGGGACGAGCCGUGGACAGGGCGGAGGUGCGGCGCCGCGGCCUUGCCGGUGUCGUCGCCUUCGAUGGAGGACGCGCUCCCCCCGCCGUCGGCCACCGGCGAGAAGCCCUUGACGCCUCCGGCGGCGGCGUCGACUCUCGCCAGUCCGUGGGGCUCGGGCUUCACUUUCGGAGACCAAACGGCGCCUCCAGCUGACACGUCGCCUGACCAGAUGCUGCCGCCGCCACCGCCAGCUGACGACGACGACGACGAUUCGGCCGACUUGCCUGACCUGCCGCUACCACCGCCGCCUCCUCCGUUUGACCCGUCAACGGACUGGCCGGACCUGCAGCUGCCUCCCCCGCCGGCGGACAUGCACCCGAUCCCCGAGACGCCGGACCAGCCUCUGUACUCGUCGCCACCGCCGGCCGACAUGCACCCGAACCCCGAGACGCCGGACCAGCCUCUGUACUCGUCGCUACCGCCGGCGGACAUGCACCCUAUCCCCGAGUCGCCGGACCAGCCUCCGCACUCGUCACCACCUCCAGCUCCUCCGACCCCCUUUGUCCCGCCUCAGACGCCAUCGCCACCCGUCGACACGCCCCCACUCGUGCCAUCUCCCGGCGCGGGCAUCGCCACGCCACCAGCUUCAUCGAGCGACGACAACAUGUCAUUCUCGCCACCACCUCACGGCACGCCGCACCCGCACCACCUUCCCCUGGGAGCGUCGCCGCCGACGGUGCCGGGCGCGGUGGCGCCAAUCAGCGGCGGCCAUGGCCCGCUCCCGUUCGGACAGGGGCAGGGGCAGGGGCAGCAUGGGCAAGGGCAGGGGGUGUUCGGGCAGCAGCAGAACCAGCUGCUGAACGGCGGGGGGCAGCCGCUGGAGCACAGCGCCGGCGGGUGGUCAGUUAGGGGGCGCGGCGGAGCGGCCGUGAGCUUGGCUUUGGUCGCUCUGGUGGCUCUGGUUUUCGAGUAG
This 1455-nucleotide ribosomal RNA is filed under the name Triticum aestivum (bread wheat). RNAcentral's name for it is "partial small subunit ribosomal RNA". Lineage: Eukaryota; Viridiplantae; Streptophyta; Magnoliopsida; Poales; Poaceae. The record is from RNAcentral.